UACGUAGGGGGCUAGCGUUGUCCGGAAUCAUUGGGCGUAAAGAGCGCGUAGGCGGCUAGAUAAGUCCGGUGUGAAAGUCACAGGCUCAACCUGUGAAUGCCGCUGGAAACUGUCUGGCUAGAGUCCGGAAGGGGCGAGUGGAAUUCCUGGUGUAGCGGUGAAAUGCGCAGAUAUCAGGAAGAACACCAAUGGCGAAAGCAGCUCUCUGGGACGGUACUGACGCUGAGACGCGAAAGCGUGGGGAGCGAACAGG
RNAcentral lists this ribosomal RNA (253 nucleotides) under uncultured bacterium. RNAcentral's name for it is "partial 16S ribosomal RNA". It matches the Rfam family "Bacterial small subunit ribosomal RNA", at positions 524 to 776 of the family's 1533-position model. The record is from RNAcentral.